Molecule: unclassified non-coding RNA, 685 nt
Filed under: Hevea brasiliensis (rubber tree)
Lineage: Eukaryota; Viridiplantae; Streptophyta; Magnoliopsida; Malpighiales; Euphorbiaceae
Source: RNAcentral
GAGCGGGAGGCAAGGCCAUCAAAGCAGCAGAGCGGGAGGCAAGGCCAUCAAGGCCUUGGCACCAAGAUUCAUCAUUGGAACCAACCAGAGGAACCAGACCCGGUAGUACCCGUCCAUCAUCCAUCUCUCAGUAUCCUAGCAAACUAUCAAGCCACAAUCACAUACAAAAUGCACAUUGAAUAGAGUACCUUAACCUUGUCAACCUUUAUGCCUGGAACAAUGUUUUGCUCGACAAGCACAUCAACCAUCUUCUUUCCAUCGGUGGUAGAUUGGUAGAGAGUCUCCUCAAAGAGAAUAGCACUAGAAACACAUUGGCCAAGGCCAGGGGCAUGGCCAAGACUCCACGGCCUGGAGAUGCAAUAGUUUUCGCAGUCUUGACUAGCUCAUCAGCAUAUGAGCUAGAACGGACGCAGAGGGCAGACGACGCAACAGGGUGACACCUAACCAUAAAGGCAGAAGGUUGGCGAAUAGCCUGACCCUUGCCACUCUAACUUGUCUAGAACAGGUGAGGUUUUAAGGAGAGAAGCAGAGGCCAUCUCUGUAGGAGUAUUAAGGCUUUGGGGUAUGUCUUCUUUCCCUUGAGCUCAGUGGGGCUGUAUUCAACGCAAACACAUUGCUCUAUUUCACAACAUUUAUAAUUGUAAAUCCUUAGCCAUGAUAUCUCAUUUGGGGCUGUAGUGCAAUG